GUGUGCAUACAUGCAUUGCUAGGUAAGGAGGAUCUGCAUACAUGCAGUGCUAGGUAAGGAGGGUCUGCAUACAUGCAGUGCACACUGCAUCAUAUUCAUAGAGAUGCAUUUUCUAUUUUAUUGCAUUUUAUCAUCUGGUCCAAAGCUAAGUUGUUUAGCUUUGAGAAGAAGAGUUGCAGAUAUUGUCAUAUUUCAUACAAUAUUGUAUGGUCAUAAGGUUUAAUGGAACAUUGUGGAGAGGAUGGCGUUCACUACACAUGGUGUCAAAGAACCUGUCCAUUGCAAAAAUAUAUUAUUAUUCGUUCUGAAUCCCCUGUUACAAUGGCUGGUUAGCAUUGCUCCCCAGCAAAUCAUGCUGGUUGUAAGUUCUGUUGUAAGUUGACAAUAUCAAUCACUUGAUUGUCUAAUUCAGUUUACAGGGUGCUGUCAUAUAGCUGGAAUAUUGCUGAGUAAACAGCAAACAUGCAAACAUCCUGAAAAUACGCCCUGCAGAAAAGAAUUCUUAAUGACAAACAGAAAUAUGUUUGCAAUAUAUGAAACAAACAAUCUUCACUUCAAUACAGUAAAACCAAUCCUGAUUCCAUGAUGGAACAUCAAAGACCAUGUCUCGCUUAGCCUCACAAUUUUCUCAAUAUUUCACACAUCAGAAAGUAGACUUGUAGCUGAAUGUUGUCAAAUGUGAUACAGCUUUGAACUGCAGCUAAAUACAAUAUAGCAGUUUAGUACUUGCCAUUGAUGCAACGUGAGCAAUGUCUAUAAGUGUAAAUAUCUCACUUCCAUGAAAUGGAAUGGAUUUGUGUCAUGUAUGUUAUUUGGGUGUUAUAAAUGUGUUUCUGGCUCGGAAGUAAAAAGAGACUGGUUUAUGUGGAUGAAAAGACAUGCUGUUCAAGAUGUCAUUUAACUGAUAAGAUGUACAUCUAAUGCCUGUAGAUUUUCAUGUUUUUAAAUAUAUGACACUACAUUGACAUGAUCAGUAGGGUUAUUUUGGGCUUCUCACUCACCAGGAAACUUUAAAAAGCAACUGCAGACAAUAAAAAAUUAUCUAUACUUAGCAUGCUUCAUAGCAUACUCAAGAAGAAAUAUGAGAUCAAUAAACUAUGUCAGAAGGCUUUGUCAGUGAUCCAGAUUGACACAUGUCAUCGUUUCCCAAUUGUGCAGAUCGAUGCUCAUGCUGUUGAUCCCUGGAUUGUCUGGUCCAGACUUGAUUAUUUAUAGACCGAUGUCAUAUAGCUGUAAUAUUGCAGAGCAUGGUGUAAAACUAAAUUCAAUCAAUCUAUGACUUUGCUAAGUGUUUGGUUCUUUCUUUCAGAGCAGUAACAUGCAUCCUUUCAUCCAUCAGUCCAAAUGAUCCAUGAUUCUUUCCAGGCUCUAAAGAAAUUAUCAAAAUGUACAGUUCUCAACACUGUAACUUCACAGGACCCUCACAUAGGCUGCUAGGACCCCUAAAACUAAUAAUUGGGUUCCCGACCCCAUGUUUGUGAGUC
Long non-coding RNA from Haliotis rubra (blacklip abalone), 1484 nucleotides. RefSeq lists it as uncharacterized. NCBI's taxonomy places the organism in Eukaryota, Metazoa, Mollusca, Gastropoda, Lepetellida, Haliotidae. The record is from RefSeq and is a predicted model, not a curated record. The transcript has 3 exons.